RNAcentral lists this transfer RNA (90 nucleotides) under Candidatus Hoaglandella endobia. Its description in RNAcentral is "tRNA-Ser". It matches the Rfam family "tRNA". From Rfam's summary of the family: Transfer RNA (tRNA) molecules are approximately 80 nucleotides in length. Their secondary structure includes four short double-helical elements and three loops (D, anti-codon, and T loops). Further hydrogen bonds mediate the characteristic L-shaped molecular structure. tRNAs have two regions of fundamental functional importance: the anti-codon, which is responsible for specific mRNA codon recognition, and the 3' end, to which the tRNAs corresponding amino acid is attached (by aminoacyl-tRNA synthetases). tRNAs cope with the degeneracy of the genetic code in two manners: having more than one tRNA (with a specific anti-codon) for a particular amino acid; and 'wobble' base-pairing, i.e. permitting non-standard base-pairing at the 3rd anti-codon position. Lineage: Bacteria; Pseudomonadati; Pseudomonadota; Gammaproteobacteria; Enterobacterales; Enterobacteriaceae. The record is from RNAcentral.
UGGUGAGGUGUCCGAGUGGCUGAAGGAGCACGCCUGGAAAGUGUGUAUAUGCGCAAGUGUAUCGAGGGUUCGAAUCCCUUCCUCACCGUC